UACGUAGGCAGCAAGCGUUGUUCGGAAUUACUGGGCGUAAAGCGAGUGUAGGCGGUUUGCCGUGUCUGCUGUGAAAUCUCCCGGCUCAACUGGGAGGGUGCGGCGGAAACUGGCAGGCUAGAGUGCGGAAGAGGAAAGUGGAAUUCCUGGUGUAGCGGUGAAAUGCGUAGAUAUCAGGAGGAACACCGGUGGUGAAGACGGCUUUCUGGACCGCCACUGACGCUGAGACUCGAAAGCGUGGGGAGCAAACAGGAUUAGAAACCCCCGUAGUCC
RNAcentral lists this ribosomal RNA (273 nucleotides) under uncultured bacterium. Its description in RNAcentral is "partial 16S ribosomal RNA". It matches the Rfam family "Bacterial small subunit ribosomal RNA", at positions 524 to 796 of the family's 1533-position model. The record is from RNAcentral.